RNAcentral lists this long non-coding RNA (4085 nucleotides) under Solanum tuberosum (potato). RNAcentral's name for it is "long non-coding RNA (STUB_LNC011079)". Lineage: Eukaryota; Viridiplantae; Streptophyta; Magnoliopsida; Solanales; Solanaceae. The record is from RNAcentral.
UUUUUUUUUUUUUGUGGUCUAUGUAAGAACCUUGCUAUUUUUAGCAUUUGCUUCGACUAAUGAUUUAGUUAUUUUCCGUCUCAUCAUAUUUGUCCUUUUUUUCCCCUGUAGUCUUUGUGGAAAUUGGCUUAAAGACUUGGAAGUUUUUUAAACAUCUAUUUCUACUACAACUACAUGGAUGUGAAAAGUCUGGAAAAUUAUAGAAUGUGACUCACAAGUGGGAAAAAUUCCACACGGUAUCAUUAAUGUUACAUCCUAGCAACUCCAGAGAAGCUACCUGAACUGUAUCAUAUUUCUCCCUUUGUUUCCCUGUAGUUUUUGUGGAAAUUGGCUUAAAGUCUUCGAAGUUUUUUAAACAUCUUUUUCUACUACAACUACUUGGAGUUUCUCCUCAUUAACUUAGUCAAGAAAUAGAAAUUUGUUACAAGUUCUGCAACAAAUUUUUCUACCGUGUGUGUUACGUAACGGGACCAAUUCAUAUCAUCUUAGGUGACACACACUGCAGAGAUGGUCGAUGACCUCGAAAUGAAUACACAUCUAGAGAAAAAUUAGCUAGAACAUAGGUGAGUAUUAAUUAUUUUCCCAAAGUCAUUUCCGUUUUCUAAAAAGUCUUGUGAAACACUACAAAAUACAGAGUAACAAGUAGACAUUUUAAUUUGUAUAAAGUUGAACAAAUAGACACACAUGUCCUACGUGACAUCCUACAUGUCAUUUUUUAUCCUACGUAGUGUCCUACGUGUAUUAUGUCAUGUAGGACUCAUGUGUCUACUUGUUCAACUUUAUACAAGUUUAAGUGCCUACUUGUGCAUAUCCAAAGUUGAAGGACAUAAACGUAAAAUGAGGCCAAGUUAAAGGGCACAUUUAUGUUUAAUGCCUUUUUGGAAAUAGACUUCUGAGGGGGAAAGUACCCCAUUUUAUUUAAUAAAAACUACAUAAUUAGACAUACUUAACUACCAUAUAUACAUAUAUUAUCUAUAGUUUAAAAUAUUACUCUUAAUACCACUUUUUAAUAAUUAUACCAUAUAUUUUAAAAAAGUUAAAUCUUAUAUGAUAUUGAAUAAUUAUCUUAAAAUUUAAACUCCUUAAUAGAAGGUACAUUAACAAUUAACCUCCCUCAAUUAGGGGUGUGCAUUCGGUUUUUCGGUUUGGUUUUACACUAUUCGGUUUGGAUUUUCGGUUUUUGGUUUUGUAAAAAUGUAACCCAAUCCGAUCCAAAAUAAAUUUGGUUUGGUUUGGUUUUCCUCUAUUCAGUUCGGCUUUUUUCGGUUUGGUUAUUCGGUUAUGUCAAUAAUUAAUAAAAAAUAAACCAAACCAAAAAACCAAACAAAGUAAUUUAUUAAUCCAAAACCAAUCUGAAAAACCAAAAAACCAAUCCAAAUAAAAAUUCGGUUUGAUUUGGUUUGGUUAUUCAGUUUAAUCCGAAUAGUGCACACCCCUACCCUCAAUCUCCUUCACCAACUAUAUAUCUCCUCCCCCCAAACCCCACGUCCUCUGCCAUUUUUUCUCUCUUCCUUCGUCCUCCUCAUAAUAUCUAAUAAAAACGAUUUUGGUUCAUAUUUGAAUCCCAGGUGUAUCUACAUGUCCUAUGCACAUGUCAUUCUUCCAUAUGUCUGAUGUUUGUGUAUCCAAAUGUCUUAUGUAUCUUCCUUUCAUCUAUAUAUCUACCGUUCUUCUCCUUAUUCUAUGUAUUUUGUUUAUUUAUUAAAUGUAUAUGUAUUUUCUAUUAAAUAUAUAUGAGUUGUAGAGUUCAUAUUGCUCUAAAGUUUGAUUUUAUAAACUUUUACAAAUUAGGUUUUACAUUGUUUGCUAGCUUUUGUUGUUUCUCAAAUUUUAAUGAAUGACCAUUCAUAAAACAGGUCGAAAAUAGAUCUAAGUUUAAGAACGAUCCUUUAAAAUUGUUGAAUACAUGUAUCUCACCUUUAAUUCAAAUUAAUAGCACGUAUCUCGAUUUUUAAUACUGUUGGAUACACAUAUCUCACUUUUAAUGAUACAUGUAUCUCGCGGUCAUGAUUUGUUCCUAAAAUUUGUGUGUUUCAGUUGCAUUUUAUAUUUAGAUCCACAUAAUCACAUGUCUAUACUUACUAUGUAUUCGAGAUACAUGUUUUUGAAUAUAAUGUAUGAAAUUGAUACAUCAAAUUAAUACUAGAUACGUGAAAUUAAAACUAGAUCAUAUAAAUAGAUACAUGAAAUUAAUACUUGACACAUAUAACAAAUACACGAAAUUAAUACUAGAUACUUCUAUGAUACAUAUGAAUGUACUUGUAUAAUACUCAUGUAUCUAAGUAUUUAGUUUGUUGGAUACAUCAUAUAUAGAUAAUAGAUACAUCAAAUUAACGAAUUUAUUAUUUUAAGAGUACUAAAUGAAAUUAAUCAAAUUACAUGACCAAGAUAUACAUGCUUUUGUUUAUUACUAAUAAUAUAAUGAAUUUAUUAUUUCAAAGGAUAAUUUUGAAAUAAUAAAUUGAAAUUAAUUAAAUAUAGAUACACUCCUUGAUUUCCGCCUUAUGAUAAGCGAUUUGAUUAAUUUAAAUUUUCAGAAUUAAUUAUUCAUGUAUAUCCUUAAUUACUCCUCUAAUUAAGGAAAUUGGUUACAACCUAUUAAUUCAAACAAAUAAAAUAUGUAUCUCAUACAUGUAUCUCCAGAUUCAAUCUCAUGUAUCCUAAGUAUGAAAAUAUGGUAGAGGAAGUAAUAUUUGAAACUAUCGGGAAUCUUAGUAAUUAGGACCUAAACUAGUGGGAUUUAUGUAGUUUGCCCUUUUAUUUAUCUGGAUAUUUUUCUUUAAUUUAAACCUCACACUUCCAUAGACUAGUCAAAAACAACAUCAAUAAUAUCCCUUAAGUCGGGAUUUAAGAAAGGUAAAUCUGAAGUAUUUUAAAAGUGUUGGCUUAUCUGAGAAUUAGAUGUUACUUCCUCCGUUUCAAUAUGUCUGUAUGUAUGGUUUUCACUUGACAUGGAAUUUAAUAAAAAAAUAAAAAAAAUUAUAUCUUGUGGUCUAAAAUUAAAAUAUGUAGAAUGUACCAUGACCCACUGUUGACACCCAAUUUUGGCCUAAUAUUUUCAAAAAUUCAUAACUUUUAAGUUUUAUUUAUUUAAUAGUUCAAGAUAAUUUUUUUUAUAAUUUUAAAUAAGUUUAUCGAUAACUAUUCUUAUUUAUCAAAAUUUAGAAAUUUUUUUUCCUAGUUAAUCUUAAAAUUACACUUUUUACAUGUCAUUAGUUAUGUUCAUUACAUUUUUUAAUAUUUAUUUUUAAUAUAGUUCAGAAAUUCAUUUCGAUGUGGAUAAAAUUUCUUACACAUAUAUUUUGGGCCACAACCUUGAGCCCAUGACUUGGGCCCAUUGAUAAUUUCCAAUUCUCUACAUAUAGAACUAACACAUUAGGUUAAAGGGGGUGGUGAAUUUAUUUUUAGAAUAAGGUCAUAAACUUUUCAGAUUUUUGUUCACAAGGGGUUUCCGGUCACCACCACCCCGGAAUCCGGCGAAGCUCCGGCAAUACAAAACCCCGACUCAAAACCUCCAUUUUCUUUCCUUCACUGUUCAUCCUUAAAGAAAACACCACCAAAGAACCUCCAAAAUUCGUCUUCUCUCCCCAAUGCCGUUUCCGGCAAGACAACGAACCAAAACAUCCACCAAACCCAUCUUUGUUCCCUUUCUCAUUUUCCGGUGAAAUAAAAACGACCCUAAAUCCACCAGAAAUCCCACACAAACCAGACCACCACAAAAACCCCUCGGAACCGGUCCCUUCCCCUCUCCCUUUUUACGAUUUUUAGUCCAUUUUUGCAAGUACUCCGGCGAGGUCUCAAAGCUCCAGAACCCAUCUUCGGCGAAACGACGCCAAUAACCACAAACUCCGGCGAAGCUUCAUGCCAUGGCUAUGACGACGGUCAGCAACAACAAACCACCAUGAAAUAACCAAAUCCGGCCUUCUAAGAGAAAAAACUUUCAGAUCUGCCCGGAAAGGUAAUAAUUUUGACAACCGUAUUUAGUCAUUGUUUUGUUCUCAUGUUUAUACUAAUUAUUGUAUUAUUUUUCAUAAUGUUGUGUUGUUACACAUAAUUUUAUCAUUAUUGCUAUCAUUAUUUGUGUA